CAGUAGCCACGGUAAUACGGAGGGUGCAAGCGUUAAUCGGAAUUACUGGGCGUAAAGCGCACGCAGGCGGUCUGUCAAGUCAGAUGUGAAAUCCCCGGGCUUAACCUGGGAACUGCAUUUGAAACUGGCAGGCUAGAGUCUUGUAGAGGGGGGUAGAAUUCCAGGUGUAGCGGUGAAAUGCGUAGAGAUCUGGAGGAAUACCGGUGGCGAAGGCGGCCCCCUGGACAAAGACUGACGCUCAGGUGCGAAAGCGUGGGGAGCAAACAGGAUUAGAGACCCCAGUAGUCCCUGUCUCUUAUAC
Molecule: ribosomal RNA, 301 nt
Filed under: uncultured bacterium
Lineage: Bacteria
Description: partial 16S ribosomal RNA
Rfam family: Bacterial small subunit ribosomal RNA
Source: RNAcentral